AGUGAACGCUGGCGGUAGGCCUAACACAUGCAAGUCGAACGGCAGCACAGUAAGAGCUUGCUCUUACGGGUGGCGAGUGGCGGACGGGUGAGGAAUACAUCGGAAUCUACUUUUUCGUGGGGGAUAACGUAGGGAAACUUACGCUAAUACCGCAUACGACCUACGGGUGAAAGCAGGGGAUCUUCGGAUCUUGCGCGAUUGAAUGAGCCGAUGUCGGAUUAGCUAGUUGGCGGGGUAAAGGCCCACCAAGGCGACGAUCCGUAGCUGGUCUGAGAGGAUGAUCAGCCACACUGGAACUGAGACACGGUCCAGACUCCUACGGGAGGCAGCAGUGGGGAAUAUUGGACAAUGGGCGCAAGCCUGAUCCAGCCAUACCGCGUGGGUGUAGAAGGCCUUCGGGUUGUAAAGCCCUUUUGUUGGGAAAGAAAAGCAGCAGGUUAAUACCCCGCUGUUCUGACGGUACCCAAAGAAUAAGCACCGGCUAACUUCGUG
Molecule: ribosomal RNA, 492 nt
Filed under: uncultured bacterium
Lineage: Bacteria
Description: partial 16S ribosomal RNA
Rfam family: Bacterial small subunit ribosomal RNA
Source: RNAcentral